UUUUUUUUGUUAUUGGAUUUGUUCUGUUGUUUUGAAUAGGAUAAGCAAAUGGUACCUGGACCGGUACCGGUACCGAAUUUACUGAAACGGUUAUAUUUUUGGUAUCGAUUCGGUACUGACUUUUGACAUUUUCGGUACCGGUAUUUACCCUGAAAUACCGAAUCGUACCGUACCAGAUAUUUGGUACCGGUACCGGUACUUGCUUUUGGGGAUUUUUGGUAUCGAUACUUUCGGUUUCGAUACCGGUCGGUACCGAGCUCAUCCCUGGUUUUGAUAACCGAGAGAUUCAAAUGAUGCUAAUUAUUUUCAUGGUUCGAAUGACAAUCGUUGAGUGAUUAUAAACAUUCGUAUUCUUUCAUUAUUGUCUGAUGAACUCUUGGUUAUUUUAUUUUAUGUUUUGAAAAGAAUUU
This 410-nucleotide long non-coding RNA is filed under the name Helianthus annuus (common sunflower). RNAcentral's name for it is "hypothetical non coding rna". The record is from RNAcentral. Lineage: Eukaryota; Viridiplantae; Streptophyta; Magnoliopsida; Asterales; Asteraceae.